Molecule: ribosomal RNA, 468 nt
Filed under: uncultured bacterium
Lineage: Bacteria
Description: partial 16S ribosomal RNA
Rfam family: Bacterial small subunit ribosomal RNA
Source: RNAcentral
GACGAACGCUGGCGGCGUGCUUAACACAUGCAAGUCGAACGGUGAAGCUCCAGCUUGCUGGAGUGGAUCAGUGGCGAACGGGUGAGUAACACGUGAGCAACCUGCCCCUGACUCUGGAAUAAGCGCUGGAAACGGCGUCUAAUACUGGAUACGAGAAGGGUCCGCAUGGGCACUUUCUGGAAAGUUUUUCGGUUGGGGAUGGGCUCGCGGCCUAUCAGCUUGUUGGUGAGGUAAUGGCUCACCAAGGCGACGACGGGUAGCCGGCCUGGGAGGGCGACCGGCCACACUGGGACUGAGACACGGCCCAGACUCCUACGGGAGGCAGCAGUGGGGAAUAUUGCACAAUGGGCGCAAGCCUGAUGCAGCGACGCCGCGUGAGGGAUGACGGCCUUCGGGUUGUAAACCUCUUUCAGCAGGGAAGAAGCGAAAGUGACGGUACCUGCAGAAGAAGCACCGGCUAACUACGUG